UACCAGCUCUCCGAGUGGUAGGGAUGAUUAUUGGGCUUAAAGCGUCCGUGGCCGGCUUAGCAAGUUUCCUGUUAAAUUCAGCGACCUAAUCGUUGAGCCGCGGGAAAUACUACUAGGCUAGGAGGCGGGAGAGGUCGACGGUACUUCUGGGGUAGGGGUGAAAUCCUAUAAUCCCGGGAGGACCACCAGUGGCGAAGGCUGUCGACUAGAACGCGCUCGACGGUGAGGGACGAAAGCUGGGGGAGCGAACCGGAUUAGAUACCCGGGUAGUCCCAGCUGUAAACGAUGCGGGCUAGGUGUUGGGGUGGCUACGUGCCGCUUCAGUGCCGCAGGGAAGCCAUUAAGCCCGCCGCCUGGGGAGUACGGCCGCAAGGCUGAAACUUAAAGGAAUUGGCGGGGAGCACCACAAGGCGUGAAGCUUGCGGUUC
RNAcentral lists this ribosomal RNA (428 nucleotides) under uncultured archaeon. Its description in RNAcentral is "bacterial SSU rRNA". It matches the Rfam family "Archaeal small subunit ribosomal RNA", at positions 474 to 903 of the family's 1478-position model. The record is from RNAcentral.